Small nucleolar RNA from Rhododendron vialii, 106 nucleotides. RefSeq annotates it as small nucleolar RNA snoR100. The transcript has a single exon. Lineage: Eukaryota; Viridiplantae; Streptophyta; Magnoliopsida; Ericales; Ericaceae. The record is from RefSeq and is a predicted model, not a curated record.
CAAUGAAAAAAGCAUGGUAAUGUGCACAUAAAUUGAAUUGGGUCUCUAGGCAUCCCCUCUAAUGCCAUUAGGCUUUGAUUCGGGAGCAUGAUUCCGCAGCAAAACA